UUAUGUUAGAGGUCAUUGACUGUUUGAGAACCGUCUUUAUGUAGCGAGAAACCCAGAGUGGAGUGAUGCUUCUUAUUCGGAUUCGAAAUUUAACCUCAUUUCAGUUGUAACUUGUAGAUUGCUUAAAUAUUCAUGUGUCUAUAAGAAACGAGCCUUCUUUUUCAAUAAUGUUUACGCCUCUUGUCAAUGUUCUUAGCUUCCCGCGCAGGACUUUUUAAAUUCGCUAAAAGUUUAUUUGUGACAUAGGUUCACCAAAGUUUUGUGUUUUGUUUUAACAUUACUUUGUGAGCGAAUGUCAACAUCACACCACGUUAAUAUUAUUUACACGUUGAAUACAGCCAAACUCAGUUAAUGCUGUAAUUUAUUUCAAGUAGCCAGAUGUGUUAACUGAAAAUAAGAUAAUGCCAAGGUGCCCCACGCUCAUUGAAUUUGAAGAUACCGACUAAAAAAGCACACGGGGAGGUCCAACCUUUGUACUCGGAUUGACUAGUCACUGAGCAGAAAUUAUUUUUUCUGCUGGAACUAUGAAGUACAACAUUAGAAUCUGGACGUUGAUUACUUUAAACACCUGGAACUACAUACAAAAUCUACAUAUGCACUGAGCUUCAGGUAGAAGAUAUGGAUGUUAUCUAUUCUCUGCUCUUGAUCUACAACUUGGAAUGAAAGGUGCUCAGGGGACCAUUGAGGUGUGCAACAUGAAAUUUAAAUAAAAGUACAGUAUGACAUUGUCAAAAUAUGUCAUAGCUGAUUGUAUUUUUUACAUUAUCUUUGAGAAACUGAUAUUUUUCAUUUUAGCUCAACGUUUGUGUAAGCUUAGAGCUGAGUAUAUGUGCUGCCUCUCAGCAAUUUUCUUAUACAAUCAAGAAAGUAAAAAAAAAAAAAAAUAAAAAUAAUAUAUAUAUAUAUAUAUAUAUAUAUACUAGUUUGUUAACAUAGAGGAUUAGUUCUGAUGUUUUUUCAGUUUGAUAUAACAAGAUAAUUAGUUUGUUAAGAUUAAUAUAGACUUCUACCUGUUCUUUGGCAAUUCUUAUUAUUCUUUACUUUAAUUACAAUCAACUUGUUGGUAACUCGCUGCUGUAUAACAAGAUUGAGAAUUAUUUUAAAUUUAUAAGUUCAAGAUAUAAAAAAAGUGCAUUUGCUCACUUGAUUAAGCUGAAUGUUAAAAGGAGACAAUCAAGACUUUUAUUGAAUAUUUGAUUUCCAUUUCUGUGGUUUUCCAUUGUGUUCAUUUCUUUAUGACAGCAAACGUCUGUACGUAUAUAUGAAUUUGCAUUGCAACAUAAAAGUUCCACAAAAUAAGCAGCUCUCAAACAAUUUAUAAAAUGAGACUAUAAUUUCUUUAAACAAAUCUGUUUAUUAUUAAUUGAUAAAACUGUGAAUUUUCAGGUCAUAAAAUAUUUUUUCUUGAAAAUAGAUAUUUUAGAACUAUUAAGGAUUAUAUAGGAUUACAAACAGAUUUGGCUUAAUCUGUUUUUCACAGAUACUUUUUAUGUCCAUAAAUGAACUCCAGAUAAUUCAUGUUGUUCCUAUCAACUUACUGUAAGAUAUAAAUAUCAGAGCAAGAAAAUAUAAAAUUAACUUGGACAAUUUUUUCCAAAAAUGAUAACACGAGUACGUUGAAUAAAGCAAUUUAUUUUCAGAAAGCUAUUUCAAUAAAAUGUCAAAUAUAUUUACUGAUACAUGUAUGUAAAAAUAAAGGAAUAAACUAAGAAGUCACUCAAACAAUUGUGUUUCAAAAGAAAACUUGUUUAAUAAUUUACAGGCUUUUAAAUUUCUCUUUUUGCCAUCAUAAGUAAAAUCAAAUUAUACUUUAUAGGUAUAUAUAUAAAGUUAUUGCAUUUUUAUUCAGACUUUGCAAUAAAAUUCAUGAACAGUGUAAUAAAUUAAUGAAAUCUUGCUAACAUGCACACUAUCGUGUUCGGCCAAUACAGAUUCACCAGAAACUCAUCAGAAGAUAAGUCUCAUUUUUUUAGUUUAUUCUUAUAUCAGUAAAUAAGCUCACCUAUAAAAAUUAGUUCACAAUUCUUUCAUUGUGUUUUGUCAUUCUACUUGCUCUACAAGCUCUGUGAAUAUACAUUGUAAUUAGUGUUAAUACUAAACUUCUGAGUUUCAAUGAAGGAUGUGGCUUAACAUGAAAAAAUAACAGUAACUUGUAAUCUUGUUAGAAAAAACAAUAGUAUUUUCGUGAUAAUAACAACAAAUUUGGAAAUUGUCUAAAUGUUUGCAGCUUCAUCAAGUGUUUAUUAUUUAAGCUUUUUAUUUGUAAGUAUUUAAAAAAUAUAGUCUAAACAUUAAGUGAAGUAUUCAUAAUGUGUGUAUAACUAUGUUUAUUCAAAUGUUCAUCCAACACCCGAUAUGUCAUCAGGUUACCACAGGAGUGUUCUAAGAGCAAGUUUAAAUAUCAACAAUAGUUUAGCAGAACACAACAAAUAUAAUAGUAGUAAGCAUAUGCAAACAUAGAUCACUUACAACAAUAUAUUCAAGAAAUACUUUUGCCAACAGAAUGUGCUUGAAAUAUAGUGUUGUACAGUAAAAAAUAAGAGUAAAAGACAUGAAAAAUUAUAUUUGAAGAAACAUUGUAAUUUUUUUAAUACCAGUAACAAAAUUUUAAUCGGUCUAUAAAAUUAUAGAGUUGAAUUAAGUAAAACAAAAUCGACUGUUAUAAACUAAACUUGAUGAGAAAAUGUGGAGAUAUUUCAUUCACUGUCUGAGUAAUGUUAAUACUAUAUUGUUGUGUGUGUGUGUGAAAGGAAAGUUUAUUUUCUUGUUCGUAUUAUUUUACUGUUAAAUAUAAAUAAUAUUAACACAGAUUUGUUUAUAUUAGUAUAAAAAAAUAAAUUAGGAGUGAAUACCAUGGUAUAGACACCAUGAUCUUGAAAAUAUUUGAUAUAUCGUAGUGAUAAUACUAUGUACAAUUGUUACAUAGUUUAUGAUUUUUCAGUUGAGGAUACUUUGUGGUAUUUUAUAUAAAUCCACACUGGGAUAAUUGUGAUACUAAAAGUCUGUUACUAGUCAUGAUGCCUCAAGAUGAUAGUGAGUAUGAAGAAAAUUUAAAUCAAAUUACAUUGUUGUUUAAAAUGGAAAUUGAAAAAGCGAGAAAACUGGAAAAAUUCAUUUCUAUCUAGAGAUUGAAGCAACCAGCAUAAACUGCCCAUUGUAUGAUAGCUGAUAAUUGUAAUUUCUAUGUUAGGCAUGUUACUUUGGGAUAUAUGGAGUAAUGGACUGUAUUUUGUUGGUUAUUACUGUUAAACGGAACAUGUCAAAAGAUUUUUUCUGGACUGAUACAAUUUAUGUAAAUAAAUUUAUUAUUAACUAUGCGAUGUUACAUGUGGAUGUUUUUAACCUGUGUAUCUGUUGCUAAGAUUGCUACAAUGGAUAUUAAAAUUAAAUGAUAUAGAAUAAUAUUUUUUCCCCAUUUCGUAAAUAAUAAAAAAAGCUCUUACAGCUAUUAAUUUAAAUAUUAGAAAGUUUUAAUAAUUCUAGUGAUCAAUUUGAAUUUUGUUAUAUCAAAAUUGUCAUUUUCUUUAGUUAGAAAAAAGUGCAAAGUAUUUUGGAAAAGCAAACAGAAUUUUGGUAUGCUUAUGAUUUAUGAAAAAAAACUAUGACUCCAGUUGAACUGUGGUGCUUUGUAUUAUUUAAUUGUUUAAAUAGGAUUUGGACAUAAUUAAAUACAAGGUAUUUAAUGACAGUUCCUAUAAGUUUCUGAAGUCAAAGACAAGAAUCCAUAGCAUAAUGAAACAGCUUAACAUGGGUGAAAAACAUGUUUUGUGGUUACUAAAGAUAUUUCAUCCACCCUCCAGUCAGCACUAAAUAUAAUUAAUAAUACUGAAACUAAUUAAUGUUUGUGUAGUAAAAACAAAACAGUUUUUAAGUUCUAAAUGAAUAAUCAAAAGGUUUAUCAGACCUACUAAGAAGUUACCUUAGUCGCCAGUUUUCUUUAUUAAUCUGUAUACUAAUCAGUUCAGAAACUGUAGAUGGUUUUUGCACAUCUAGGUAAAACUUAUAGGGAGUUAGAGAGUAUUUAUUAAUAUACAAGGAUAUGGGAUACAAAGUACCUCUCUGAUCUUCCAUUUUGCAACAGGGUUAACAAUAUAUAUGUUCAAUUUGUAUGAUAAUUCUAAAAUAAAAAAUACUGCAAAGGAACAAGCUUCACAUUAUAUAUGUAUAUAUAUUCUUAUGCAAUUUGUUUUUGUGGAAGUCUUAAGUAUGUCAUUAUUACUGCUAUAUAUGUAUUCUCAAUUAUUUUAAAUACAUUUUUACUUCACACUGACUAAUAAUCAUCACUGAUAUUUUUUUUCUUACUAGUUAAAUGUAAGUUUGUUAAGUACAGAUAUCUGGGAAUUCUGUUGUGUAGCAAGUAAUGAAAUUAAUCCUAAAAUUUUUUGGUUUAUAAUGUACAUGUCAAAGGUAACUUAUGUACAUUUGACCAGAAAUGGGCCUUACUUUAUUUCCUAACAUGAUGAUAAAUUUCUAAUAUAUACAUUUUAAUCCAUCUUGUUUGUCUAGAACAAAGUUAUUUUGGGUUGUAUAGGAAAUGUUUUGUCUGACAAGGUCCUGUUAAAAAUGAUUAUUAAAAUUUUUUAUGCAAUCUUAUUGAUUUUACAUUGGCUUGGAUGGUACAUUAGGUUCUUUGUCUUAUAUGUCUGUACAAGUUAUAUAACUACUUAGCACAAAAAAGUUUGUUUAUAUGUGUGUGUGUUAAAUGUACAAGACUGUAGAAAAUUGAAGUUGAAUAAAUAAUGGCUCUUUGGUUUAGUA
RNAcentral lists this long non-coding RNA (4758 nucleotides) under Limulus polyphemus (Atlantic horseshoe crab). RNAcentral describes it as "uncharacterized LOC111083736". Lineage: Eukaryota; Metazoa; Arthropoda; Merostomata; Xiphosura; Limulidae. The record is from RNAcentral.